This 320-nucleotide long non-coding RNA is filed under the name Prunus persica (peach). Its description in RNAcentral is "long non-coding RNA (PPER_LNC006963)". Lineage: Eukaryota; Viridiplantae; Streptophyta; Magnoliopsida; Rosales; Rosaceae. The record is from RNAcentral.
UUUGUGAGAGUUAUUUUAUUUGUAUUGUUCUGUCUUGGUUUUCUCAAGCUUUAUCUCUUUUUGGUUGUUCUAAGUUUGCACUCUUAGUUAGAAUGCCUAUGCCAGAGUUUCUUCAAUCCUGUGUGGUUGUUAGUGGAGGAGCCCCAAAUUGUCUUAAUUUUGAUGUUAGAUCACUUUGUUAUUGUAGUGGCCAUUUGUGGCUAGAUUGUAUUGCCCCUUUGGAGCUGGUGGCUUUUUUGACUGAAGUAUGAAUGCAAUCCCAUAAUUUCUAUAAAAAAAAAAAUUUGGAAAAAAAUAUAUAUAUUCAAAGAAUGCUGUUA